CCCUUAGAUGUUCUGGGCUGCACACGUGCUACACUGGCAGGUUCAGCGAGCUUCAUGCCCUGAUCUGAAAGGAAUGGGAAAUCUUUUCAAAACCUGCCGUGCUUGGGAUAGAUGUUUGCAAUUAUUCAUCUUCAACGAGGAUUGCCUUGUAAGCGCACGUCAUCAGCGUGCAUUGAAUACGACCCUGUAUUCUGUACACACCGCCCGUCGCUCCUAUCGAUUGAAGUUUUCGGUGAGUUGACAGGAGGAUUUUUUUGAAACUGGUUCGCCAGUGGAUUUUAGAUCCAAAUGCCAACGAAUCGAUGGCUUUAGAGGAAGGAGAAGUCGUAACA
RNAcentral lists this ribosomal RNA (332 nucleotides) under uncultured eukaryote. RNAcentral describes it as "partial 18S ribosomal RNA". It matches the Rfam family "Eukaryotic small subunit ribosomal RNA", at positions 1470 to 1796 of the family's 1831-position model. The record is from RNAcentral.